Molecule: long non-coding RNA, 601 nt
Organism: Carassius gibelio (silver crucian carp)
Lineage: Eukaryota; Metazoa; Chordata; Actinopteri; Cypriniformes; Cyprinidae
Exons: 5
Source: RefSeq, a predicted model, not a curated record
CUUAAUUUCCCGCCAACUCCACUCCAGGUAAGUUUAAAGCAAGAGCUAGGCAGUUGACGUGCAGGGGUUCUAGCUCUCAGGUAAAUACAGAGUUCAAUACACAGGUGAGUAUUCACAGGGCUAAGCUGUUAGCGUGCAGGGGUUCUUGCUCUUAGGUAAGUACAGCGUUCAAUACAAAGGUAAGUAUUCACAGGGCUGGGCUGUUGGCGUGCAGAGGUUCUAGCUCUCAGGUAAGUACAGCGUUCAAUACACAGGUAAGUAUUCACAGGGCUAGGCUGUUAAUGUGCAGAGGUUCUAGCUCUCAGGUAAAUACAGUGUUCGACACACAGGUGGGUAUUCACAGGGCUGAGCUGUUAGCGUGCAGGGGUUCUAGCUCUCAAUGUAAGUACAGUGUUCCAUACACAGGUAAGUAUUCACAGGGCUGAGCUGUUAGCGUGCAGGGGUUCUAGCUCUCAAUGUAAGUACAGUGUUCCAUACACAGGUGGGUAUUCACAGGGCUGGGCUGUUAGCGUGCAGGGGUUCUAGCUCUCAGGUAAGUACAGUGUUCGAUACACAGGUAAGUAUUCACAGGGCUGAGCUGUUAGCGUGCAGGGGUUCUAGC